GACGAACGCUGGCGGCGUGCUUAACACAUGCAAGUCGAACGGAAAGGCCCUUCGGGGUACUCGAGUGGCGAACGGGUGAGUAACACGUGGGUGAUCUGCCCUGCACUUUGGGAUAAGCCUGGGAAACUGGGUCUAAUACCGAAUAGGACCACGCGCUUCAUGGUGUGUGGUGGGAAGCUUUUGCGGUGUGGGAUGGGCCCGCGGCCUAUCAGCUUGUUGGUGGGGUAAUGGCCUACCAAGGCGACGACGGGUAGCCGGCCUGAGAGGGUGACCGGCCACACUGGGACUGAGAUACGGCCCAGACUCCUACGGGAGGCAGCAGUGGGGAAUAUUGCACAAUGGGCGCAAGCCUGAUGCAGCGACGCCGCGUGAGGGAUGACGGCCUUCGGGUUGUAAACCUCUUUCAAUAGGGACGAAGCGCAAGUGACGGUACCUAUAGAAGAAGCACCGGCCAACUACGUG
RNAcentral lists this ribosomal RNA (462 nucleotides) under uncultured bacterium. RNAcentral's name for it is "partial 16S ribosomal RNA". It matches the Rfam family "Bacterial small subunit ribosomal RNA", at positions 28 to 507 of the family's 1533-position model. The record is from RNAcentral.